CGACCUUGAAAUACCACCCUUUAAUGUUUGAUGUUCUAACGUGGACCCGUAAUCCGGGUUGCGGACAGUGUCUGGUGGGUAGUUUGACUGGGGCGGUCUCCUCCUAAAGAGUAACGGAGGAGCACGAAGGUUGGCUAAUCCUGGUCGGACAUCAGGAGGUUAGUGCAAUGGCAUAAGCCAGCUUGACUGCGAGCGUGACGGCGCGAGCAGGUGCGAAAGCAGGUCAUAGUGAUCCGGUGGUUCUGAAUGGAAGGGCCAUCGCUCAACGGAUAAAAGGUACUCCGGGGAUAACAGGCUGAUACCGCCCAAGAGUUCAUAUCGACGGCGGUGUUUGGCACCUCGAUGUCGGCUCAUCACAUCCUGGGGCUGAAGUAGGUCCCAAGGGUAUGGCUGUUCGCCAUUUAAAGUGGUACGCGAGCUGGGUUUAGAACGUCGUGAGACAGUUCGGUCCCUAUCUGCCGUGGGCGCUGGAGAACUGAGGGGGGCUGCUCCUAGUACGAGAGGACCGGAGUGGACGCAUCACUGGUGUUCGGGUUGUCAUGCCAAUGGCACUGCCCGGUAGCUAAAUGCGGAAGAGAUAAGUGCUGAAAGCAUCUAAGCACGAAACUUGCCCCGAGAUGAGUUCUCCCUGACUCCUUGAGAGUCCUGAAGGAACGUUGAAGACGACGACGUUGAUAGGCCGGGUGUGUAAGCGCAGCGAUGCGUUGAGCUAACCGGUAC
This 720-nucleotide ribosomal RNA is filed under the name Escherichia coli. RNAcentral describes it as "partial 23S ribosomal RNA". It matches the Rfam family "Bacterial large subunit ribosomal RNA", at positions 2187 to 2901 of the family's 2925-position model. Lineage: Bacteria; Pseudomonadati; Pseudomonadota; Gammaproteobacteria; Enterobacterales; Enterobacteriaceae. The record is from RNAcentral.